RNAcentral lists this ribosomal RNA (506 nucleotides) under uncultured bacterium. RNAcentral's name for it is "bacterial SSU rRNA". It matches the Rfam family "Bacterial small subunit ribosomal RNA", at positions 22 to 518 of the family's 1533-position model. The record is from RNAcentral.
GGUCAGAACGAACGCUGGCGGCGCGUUUAAGCAUGCAAGUCGAGCGGCAAGGGCCUUCGGGCCCCUAGAGCGGCGGACGGGUGAGUAACACGUGGACAAUCUGCCCCCCGGCCCGGGAUAGCCCAGGGAAACCUGGAUUAAUACCGGAUGAGACGGGACCCGCGAUGGCGGGACCCGGGAAAGGCGCUGCGGCGCCGCCGGGGGAUGAGUCUGCGUCCCAUUAGCUAGACGGCGGGGUAACGGCCCACCGUGGCGACGAUGGGUAGCCGGCCUGAGAGGGUGGACGGCCACAUUGGAACUGAGACACGGUCCAGACUCCUACGGGAGGCAGCAGCUAAGAAUCUUCCGCAAUGGGCGAAAGCCUGACGGAGCCGACGCCGCGUGAACGAAGAAGGCCGUGAGGUUGUAAAGUUCUUUUCGGGAGGGGGAACAACCGUGGCAGGGAAUGGCCGCGGGAUGACGUGAAUCCCGGAAUAAGCCCCGGCUAACUACGUGCCAGCCGCCGC